Long non-coding RNA from Dicentrarchus labrax (European seabass), 3002 nucleotides. Lineage: Eukaryota; Metazoa; Chordata; Actinopteri; Moronidae. The record is from Ensembl.
CCUGGAGGAACGUGUUACAAGAAGAUAACGACGUACAAAAAAGUUGAAAUACAAUUAUAAAAAAAGUAUUACGUUUAUGUAAUAUAAGUUAUUAAAAUGUCUUUUUUUUUUUUUUUUUUUUUUUUUUUUUUUUUUUUUUUUUUUUUUUUUUUUUUUUUUUUUUUUUUUUGGUUUUGGGGGGGGUUUUUUUUUUUUUUUUUUUUAACAUUAGGACACCAGGGAACUAGAUUAACUUGUUGAAAUAAGUAUAAUAUGACUCCUUAAGUCGUUUGCAACAGAGUCCGAGGCCAUAAGCGUGGUGAAGAGGGCACAGGAGUCGCUCUCCCACAACAGCCUCCGGUUGCACAAGAUCACGUCAAACAGUGCAGCUGUCAUGGCUGAAUUCCCCCCGAAGACCGUGCAAGCAGCAUCAAAGACCUGGACUUUGCCACUGAUAACGUCCCCAUGCAGCGCAGCCUGGGUAUCAGCUGGAACAUAGUCACAGACACAUUCACCUUUCAAGUACAGCGAGAUGACAAGCCUUUCACACGCAGAGGCGUGCUCUCAACCAUAAACAGCAUCUUCGACCCGCUCGGUUUUCUCUCACCCGUCACCAUACAGGGGAGAUCGUUGCUGAGAGAGCUGACCAUGGAAAACGGUGAAUGGGACUCGCCGUUACCUGGACACCUCCAAGCAGAGUGGGUGAGAUGGAAGUCCUCCCUACAAUGCCUUCAAGACAUACAGAUCCCCCGCUGCUACACAUCUCUCUCCACCUCUGCAGCAAGCGCGAGAGAGUUGUGUGUGUUUGCGGAUGCUUCAACCAAAGCAAUCGCAGCAGUUGCCUACCUGAAGGUGACCGAUGAAGAUGAACGCUCCGAAAUUGGAUUCGUGCUUGGCAAAGCAAAGCUGGCACGAGACAAUCCAGACUCGAACUCUGCGCAGCAGUCCUUGCUGUUGAGAUAGCUGAGACUGUUGUGAGUAGCAUGGUCUCACACAUGAACUCUGUCACUUUCUAUUCUGACAGCAAAGUCGUGUUAGGUUAUAUUAACAAUGAGCAGAGAAGAUUUUAUGUUUAUGUAAGCAAUAGGGUCCAACGCAUCAGACAAGCAACAUCACCCCAACAGUGGAAGUAUGUCCCCACAGAGCUCAACCCAGCCGAUCAUGGCUCCAGAUCAGUUGCAGCUGCAUCAUUGAGAGACACCAAUUGGCUGACCAGACCCGCCUUCCUUUCUGGUAAGCCUCCAGCUGAUCAUCCGUCACUGUUUGAUCUAGUUGACCCAGAGUUAGACUCUGAGAUCAGACCUCAGGUCGCAGUACUAGUCACUGAAACCACACAGCUCAGCUUAGGAACUGAGCGCUUCGAGCGUUUCUCAAAGUGGACUUCUGUGUUAAGAGCACUUGCGGUCUUGAUUCACAUAGCACAGUGUUUCAGGCAAACGGACAAAGACAACAUAUGCAGAGGGUGGCAUACCUGUAAGAAAGCAAUCACGCCAGAGAACCUGGAAAAAGCAAAGAAACUACUGAUCAAGAACAUGCAACAGGAAAGAUAUCCUAGUGAAUUUAGCAACAUUCAGAGUAAGUCAGACAUUCCAAAACGGAACAACAUUGCAAAGCUGCGCCCAGUGGUUGACAGCUGCGGACUUCUCAGAGUGGGAGGACGCAUCACACAGUCUGGCCUUGAGAUAAACCGCACCAAUCCUCUCAUCGUCCCAGCUCAGCAUCACCUAACGACUCUCCUUGUGCGCCACCAUCAUGAGCAGGUAAAACACCAGGGCAGACACUUCACAGAGGGGGCCAUCAGGGACGCUGGACUGUGGCUGGUGGGCGGAAAGAGGUGUAUCAGAGGCACCCUGUCCCGGUGUGUCACCUGCAGGAGACUGCGUGGCAAACAAGAGCAUCAGCUGAUGGCAGAUCUGCCUGCAGACCGGCUACAAGCUGCCCCACCGUUCACGUACGUCGGCCUGGAUGUGUUUGGUCCAUGGGAGGUCAUCAGCCGCCGGACGAGAGGUGGACAAGCAAACAGCAAAAGGUGGGCAGUAAUGUUCACCUGUCUGUGUGUGCGUGCUGUACACAUUGAAGUGAUAGAGACACUGAGUGUAUCUAGUUUCAUAAAUGCUCUACGGAGAUUUUUCUCCAUCAGAGGCCCUGCUGCACAGAUUAGGUCUGACAGAGGCACUAACUUUACUGGUGCGUCAAAAGAACUGAAUCUGGAAGACGACGCAGACAUGCAACGUUACCUACAAGACCAGCAAUGCACAUGGAUUUUCAACCCCCCGCACGCCUCCCAUAUGGGAGGGGCCUGGGAGCGACUCAUCGGAGUGGCCCGUCGCAUCCUAGACUCCAUGUUCUUGCAGCAACGCUUCUCUUCAUUGACCCACGAGGUCCUCGUCACACUCAUGGCAGAGGUUUGUGCAGUCAUGAAUGCGAGACCCCUGCUGCCUGUGUCAACUGACCCCGAGAACCCCCUCAUACUCACCCCCUCCAUGCUUCUGACGCAAAAGACAGGAGCCCCAUCAUCGCCUCCACCUGACUUUGGCAAGGCAGAGAUCAUUCGUCACCAGUGGAAGCUGGUACAAUAUCUCGCAGAGACAUUUUGGCACAAAUGGCAACGUGAAUACCUGAGCACCCUGCAAAGUCGGGCCAAGUGGCAGGAAAAAAGGCCUAACUUGCAGGAAGGAGACAUCAUCUUGAUGAAAGACAAUGCAGUGCCAAGGAACCACUGGCCGAUGGCAGUGGUCAUCAAAACUUAUCCCAGCAGAGACAAUGUUGUCAGGACUGUAGAUAUCAGAGUGGUCCGCCAAGGCACUCCUAAAAUACCAAGUUGCGCUCUGUGUUGUGUCAAUUCCUCUUACAAGUUUCUUCAAACCCCCGCACAGUCGUGUUUCCCACGGGGGCAAUGCCGUUUUACAGCUUGUUUUUGCACUGCCGUGUGUAAAAUAAAGGAGAGGAGAAAAAGACCUCGGGAUAAAGCAGCAUCUCUCUUCUUUGUUCACCUCACCUGGCUGUUUAUACGCGCUGGAUAA